RNAcentral lists this ribosomal RNA (253 nucleotides) under uncultured bacterium. Its description in RNAcentral is "partial 16S ribosomal RNA". It matches the Rfam family "Bacterial small subunit ribosomal RNA", at positions 524 to 776 of the family's 1533-position model. The record is from RNAcentral.
UACGAAGGGGGUUAGCGUUGCUCGGAAUCACUGGGCGUAAAGCGCACGUAGGCGGAUCUUUAAGUCAGGGGUGAAAUCCCAAGGCUCAACCUUGGAACUGCCUUUGAUACUGGGGAUCUCGAGUCCGGAAGAGGUUGGUGGAACUGCGAGUGUAGAGGUGAAAUUCGUAGAUAUUCGCAAGAACACCAGUGGCGAAGGCGGCCAACUGGUCCGGUACUGACGCUGAGGUGCGAAAGCGUGGGGAGCAAACAGG